UGGGGAAUUUUGGACAAUGGGCGCAAGCCUGAUCCAGCCAUGCCGCGUGCGGGAAGAAGGCCUUCGGGUUGUAAACCGCUUUUGUCAGGGAAGAAACGCUCUGGGCUAAUACCCUGGGGUAAUGACGGUACCUGAAGAAUAAGCACCGGCUAACUACGUGCCAGCAGCCGCGGUAAUACGUAGGGUGCAAGCGUUAAUCGGAAUUACUGGGCGUAAAGCGUGCGCAGGCGGUUAUGCAAGACAGAUGUGAAAUCCCCGGGCUCAACCUGGGAACUGCAUUUGUGACUGUAUAGCUAGAGUACGGUAGAGGGGGAUGGAAUUCCGCGUGUAGCAGUGAAAUGCGUAGAUAUGCGGAGGAACACCGAUGGCGAAGGCAAUCCCCUGGACCUGUACUGACGCUCAUGCACGAAAGCGUGGGGAGCAAACAGGAUUAGAUACCCAUGUAGUCCCUGAGCGGGCUGGCAAGGCGCAU
Molecule: ribosomal RNA, 472 nt
Filed under: uncultured bacterium
Lineage: Bacteria
Description: bacterial SSU rRNA
Rfam family: Bacterial small subunit ribosomal RNA
Source: RNAcentral